GGUCUUGUGGUCUAGAGGUAUGAUUCUCGCUUAGGGACAACCCGAAGCCAAUUGCGAGAGGCCCCGCGUUCGAAUCGCGGCAAGACCC
This 88-nucleotide transfer RNA is filed under the name Blumeria hordei DH14. RNAcentral's name for it is "tRNA-Pro for anticodon AGG". The record is from RNAcentral. Lineage: Eukaryota; Fungi; Ascomycota; Leotiomycetes; Helotiales; Erysiphaceae.